This 445-nucleotide ribosomal RNA is filed under the name uncultured bacterium. Its description in RNAcentral is "bacterial SSU rRNA". It matches the Rfam family "Bacterial small subunit ribosomal RNA", at positions 355 to 796 of the family's 1533-position model. The record is from RNAcentral.
CAACGAAUCUUCCCCAAUGCCGGAAACGGUGAGGGAGCGACGCCGCGUGAAGGACGAAGUUCUUCGGAAUGUAAACUUAUGUAAGGAUCAUGAAAGUCUGAGGGCUAAUACCCCAAAGGAUUGAUCUGGUCCCUAAAAGGGGCGGCUAACUCUGUGCCAGCAGCCGCGGUAAUACAGAGGCCCCAAGCGUUACUGAGAAUCACUGGGUUUAAAGGGUGCGUAGGUGGUCCGUUAAGUCCGUUGUGAAAUCCCUGGGCUCAACCCAGGAAAUGCUUCGGAUACUGGCGGACUUGAGGCUAGUAGGGGUCACUGGAACUGACGGUGGAGCGGUGAAAUGCGUAGAUAUCGUCAGGAACGCCGAUGGUGAAGACAGGUGACUGGGCUAGAUCUGACACUGAGGCACGAAAGCGUGGGGAGCGAACGGGAUUAGAUACCCCCGUAGUCC